AUAAUAUUACUAACAAUAUUAUAUUAUUAUCAUAUUAGAUAUUAUGUUUCUUUGAGUGCUUUGCAGAUCUUCCGCUACAAUCUGCAUUAAUCGAAAAGAGGCUAUUAACCCUCCCUCUAGCCUCGGAUCACGAUCCAACAGAAGCAGGAGCCGGCGGAAGAGGCAGUAGGAGAUAUCCUGACAAUAGAGGGAGGAGACGCGUCACGCGGCGCAGACCCAUGGAAGGGACGCCGAUACGCCCCGGACGUCGACCGAACGACCAGGGAAAAACGCCUGUGGCUGAGUCCGAAGAUUACGUUUACGGAAGAAGACAUGAAAGAUGUCACCACCCCCCACGACAACCCGUUGGUAAUAACCCCCGUUUUUCGAAAGGGCGAUCACACCAACGUGCGGUUGCACAGGGUACUGGUCGACACGGGGGCGUCAAUGGACGUAUUGUAUUGGAACGCCUUCAUCGAC
RNAcentral lists this long non-coding RNA (459 nucleotides) under Zostera marina. RNAcentral describes it as "long non-coding RNA (ZMAR_LNC000209)". The record is from RNAcentral. Lineage: Eukaryota; Viridiplantae; Streptophyta; Magnoliopsida; Alismatales; Zosteraceae.